GGAUGUGAGGGUGAUCUGGUUGCAACAUCUGUCACCCUAUUGAUCACCAGGGUUGAUUCUGCUGAUCUAGCUGGCUAGGUGGGUGUCCCUUUCUGUCCUCACUGCUCCAUGUACAUCCCUCCUGAAGCUAGCUGUGCGUUCAGUGGAAGAGGAUGUCCUUCCCUGAUUAGAGACUGAUAUUCAGUAGAAGGUCUAUAAGUAGUUGUGCUUUCCUGCUAGAACCUCCAAACAAGCCCUCAAGGUUCUUAAGCCAGAAUAAAAGAGAAGAAAGCUUAAAACUUCUCAAUCUUUG
Erinaceus europaeus (western European hedgehog) is the source of this 292-nucleotide unclassified non-coding RNA. Its record names the gene 7SK. It matches the Rfam family "7SK RNA". Rfam says of the family: 7SK was discovered as an abundant small nuclear RNA in the mid-70s but a possible function has only recently been suggested. Two independent studies have found that 7SK RNA binds the CDK9/cyclin T complex (known as elongation factor P-TEFb). The record is from Ensembl. NCBI's taxonomy places the organism in Eukaryota, Metazoa, Chordata, Mammalia, Eulipotyphla, Erinaceidae.